AACCGAACCGCUUGGCGGGCGUGCCUAACACAUACAAGUCGAACGAGAACUCCGGGCUUGCUCGGAGAAGUACAGUGGCGCACGGGUGAGUAACGCGUGGGUAACCUACCCUUGAAUCUGGGAUAACCCCGCGAAAGCGGGACUAAUACCGGAUAUGGUUCCAUAAGCCUUGGCUCUUGGAAUUAAAGGUGACCUCUUCAUGAAAGUUGCCGUUCAGGGACGGGCUCGCGUACCAUUAGCUUGUUGGUAGGGUAAUGGCCUACCAAGGCUACGAUGGUUAGCUGGUCUGAGAGGAUGAUCAGUCACACUGGAACUGGAACACGGUCCAGACUCCUACGGGAGGCAGCAGUGGGGAAUUUUGCGCAAUGGGGGAAGCCCUGACGCAGCAACCCGCGUGAGCGAAGGAGGCCUUCGGGUCGUAAAGCUCUGUCAAGUGGGAAAAAAGCCUUUCGGUUAAUACCCGGAAGGUCUGAUGGUACCACUGGAGGAAGCACCGGCUAACUCCGUGCCAGCAGCCGCGGUAAUACGGAGGGUGCAAGCGUUGUUCGGAUUUACUGGGCGUAAAGGGCGUGCAGGCGGUUUGGUAAGUCAGAUGUGAAAGCCCUGGGCUUAACCCGGGAAGUGCAUUUGAAACUGCCUUUCUUGAGUAUGGGAGAGGAGAGUGGAAUUCCCAGUGUAGAGGUGAAAUUCGUAGAUAUUGGGAGGAACACCCGUGGCGAAGGCGACUCUCUGGACCAAUACUGACGCUGAGACGCGAAAGCGUGGGGAGCAAGUAGGAUUAGAUACCCUGGUAGUCCACGCUGUAAACGAUGAGAACUAGGUGUAGCGGGUAUUGACCCCUGCUGUGCCGAAGUUAACGCAUUAAGUUCUCCGCCUGGGGAGUACGGCCGCAAGGCUAAAACCAAAGGAAUUGACGG
Molecule: ribosomal RNA, 917 nt
Filed under: uncultured bacterium
Lineage: Bacteria
Description: bacterial SSU rRNA
Rfam family: Bacterial small subunit ribosomal RNA
Source: RNAcentral